AUACGUAGGGUGCAAGCGUUAAUCGGAAUUACUGGGCGUAAAGCGUGCGCAGGCGGUUUUGUAAGACAGUGGUGAAAUCCCCGGGCUCAACCUGGGAACUGCCAUUGUGACUGCGAGGGCGGAGUGCGGGAGAGGGGGGAGGAAUUCCGCGUGUCGCAGUGAAAUGCGUAGAUAUGCGGAGGAACACCGAUGGCGAAGGCAAUCCCCUGGGCCUGCACUGACGCUCAUGCACGAAAGCGUGGGGAGCAAACAGGAUUAGAUACCCUGGUAGUCCACGCCCUAAACGAUGUCAACUGGUUGUUGGGGAUUUAUUUUCUCAGUAACGAAGCUAACGCGUGAAGUUGACCGCCUGGGGAGUACGGCCGCAAGGUUAAAACUCAAAGGAAUUGACGGGG
RNAcentral lists this ribosomal RNA (395 nucleotides) under uncultured bacterium. Its description in RNAcentral is "partial 16S ribosomal RNA". It matches the Rfam family "Bacterial small subunit ribosomal RNA", at positions 523 to 918 of the family's 1533-position model. The record is from RNAcentral.